Acanthosepion pharaonis is the source of this 114-nucleotide non-coding RNA. The record is from the annotation of a GenBank genome assembly. NCBI's taxonomy places the organism in Eukaryota, Metazoa, Mollusca, Cephalopoda, Sepiida, Sepiidae.
UUACGGUCACAUCCCGUUGAAACAUUGGUUCCUGUGUGAUCAUCGAAGUUAAGCAAUGUCGAUUCUGGUCAGUACCUAAAUGGGUGACCACUUGGGAAUACCAGAUGUGGCAAU